UCUUAGAUAUAAAUUAACCUUAUUUACCAGAGUACUACGAACAUUAAGUUUAAAACUCAAAGAGCUUGGCGGUGCUUUAGACUCCUCAGGGGAACCUGUCCCGUAAUCGACAGUCCACGAACCAACCUCACCUUUUCUAGCAAAUCAGUAUGUAUACCGUCGUCGUCAGGUAACUUUUCAAAAUAUAGAAGUUAGCAAUUAAAAAAUUAAUUUUCUACGUCAGAUCAAGGUGCAGCCUAUGAAAAGGAGCGGAUGGGUUACAAUUAACACUUAUAACUACCAAUUUAACUUUUAACAGGUUUCUGAAGGCGGACUUGAAAGUAAAGCUUAGCAGCUAAAUGCCUUGAAUCAAGCUCUGAAGCG
RNAcentral lists this ribosomal RNA (363 nucleotides) under Littoraria scabra. Its description in RNAcentral is "partial 12S ribosomal RNA". The record is from RNAcentral. Lineage: Eukaryota; Metazoa; Mollusca; Gastropoda; Littorinimorpha; Littorinidae.